UACGGAGGGUGCGAGCGUUGUCCGGAAUCACUGGGCGUAAAGGGCGCGUAGGCGGCGCGACAAGGCGGCGGUGAAAGUCCGGGGCUCAACCCCGGAUCGGCCGUGGCGACUGUCGCGCUCGAGCACAGUAGAGGCGGGUGGAAUUCCGGGUGUAGCGGUGGAAUGCGCAGAUAUCAGGAGGAACACCGGUGGCGAAGGCGGGUCUCUGGGCAGUAACUGACGCUGAGGAGCGAAAGCGUGGGGAGCGAACAGG
RNAcentral lists this ribosomal RNA (253 nucleotides) under uncultured bacterium. RNAcentral describes it as "partial 16S ribosomal RNA". It matches the Rfam family "Bacterial small subunit ribosomal RNA", at positions 524 to 776 of the family's 1533-position model. The record is from RNAcentral.